Molecule: long non-coding RNA, 578 nt
Filed under: Pongo abelii (Sumatran orangutan)
Lineage: Eukaryota; Metazoa; Chordata; Mammalia; Primates; Hominidae
Description: lincRNA
Source: RNAcentral
CUGCUAGGGAAGGCAUCGAGCUUGAGGAAGAGGCCUCAUUCAUCUCCGUACCCCAGGCCCUAGUACACAGCAGGCAGAUAAACCUGCCAGUAAUUUCAGCAAAUGAAACGUGGAACACGUCAAGGCCAGAGGAUGGAAAAGGCUCCAGUUUUGAUAAAAGGAGGCCUGCUUGGCUUGGAAUCCUCUCUCCUGCUGGUUGGGAGAUGCAAAGAUGUUUCCAGAGAGGGGCUGAUGAAUUGAGGGGAAAGAAAUGAGCCCAGUAUGAGUCCCCUUUCAGGGCUGAGUGUGUAUAAAACCAAACAACUUGGAACCGCUCCAAGAGAGGGGAUUAAAGCAACAUGUUAUUCUGAGUGAUUGCUUAAUUUGUUGAGCUGUGGCUGGAUCUGUAAUGAAAUACAGCCCUUGUAACUGAUAACCUCCUGCUGCAAUUGAACUUCUACAAUUAAGGAAUAUUUUCUGAGUUUCUCUGGAACGGCUCUGAAUUUUUAGCCUCUGUGGUAGGGUGCUUCUGAACAUUUGUUUUCCAGGCAAUUUUUUUUCUUGAGUAUUAGGCUGAUGUUAAUAAGUAAGCAGCAUUU